This 753-nucleotide ribosomal RNA is filed under the name uncultured bacterium. RNAcentral describes it as "bacterial SSU rRNA". It matches the Rfam family "Bacterial small subunit ribosomal RNA", at positions 28 to 758 of the family's 1533-position model. The record is from RNAcentral.
AACGAACGCUGGCGGCGUGCCUAACACAUGCAAGUCGAACGGAUUGAAGGGGCUUGCUCCUUCAGUUAGUGGCGCACGGGUGAGUAACGCGUAGAUAAUCUGCCUGAUGAUCCGGGAUAACAGUUCGAAAGGACUGCUAAUACCGGAUAAGCCCACGUGGCCUUUGGACCGUGCGGGAAAAGGGGGGGACCUUCGGGCCUUCUGUCAUCAGAUGAGUCUGCGUACCAUUAGCUAGUUGGUAGGGUAAAGGCCUACCAAGGCUACGAUGGUUAGCUGGUUUGAGAGAAUGAUCAGCCACACUGGAACUGAGACACGGUCCAGACUCCUACGGGAGGCAGCAGUGGGGAAUUUUGCGCAAAGGGCGAAAGCCUGACGCAGCAACGCCGCGUGAGUGAUGAAGGCUUUCGGGUCGUAAAGCUCUGUCGAGGGGAAAGAAGUGUACGGGGGCUAAUAUCCUCUGCACUUGACGGUACCCCUAAAGGAAGCACCGGCUAACUCCGUGCCAGCAGCCGCGGUAAUACGGGGGGUGCAAGCGUUGUUCGGAAUUAUUGGGCGUAAAGAGCGUGUAGGCGGUUUGUUAAGUCUGGUGUGAAAGCCCUGGGCUCAACCCAGGAAGUGCAUUGGAAACUGGCAGACUUGAAUACGGGAGAGGGCAGUGGAAUUCCUAGUGUAGGAGUGAAAUCCGUAGAUAUUAGGAGGAACACCGGUGGCGAAGGCGGCUGCCUGGACCGAUAUUGACGCUGAGACGCGAAA